AAAUAUAUUGUGAAUUGGACUUUUGUCCGUAUUAAUAAAUAAAUAAAUAAAUAAAUAAAUAAAUAAAUAAAUACGAGGCGAAUCUACUAUAGUAGAGAACCGACAGAAAUUACGGUGUCGAGUACCGCGUGCAGAGUUCAUGGGCUUGUGGUUUAACGUAACAUUAUGGCGCGUAAACUGCGUGUUGCAGACCAAACUUCGCCCAGAAUCGUUUUUCGUUUACGGCUACGAUUUAUUCCGCGAAUAUUUGUCUUUCCGUGUACAGAAUAUGAUUCGCCGUCUCAUUCGUUUCGAUACACCUACUACAGUAUUAUUAUAAUGCAAUAUAGACCGUAUAUACACGAAUAAUUCGCGUGUUAUGACUGCGUGAAAUUCGUGUUUUUCCGACGCUUUAUCCUGUGUAAUAUACCGCGGGUUAUGCUUUACAUCACUAUGAAAUACACCCGAUAUUCGAACCCGAAUGAUAAAAAUCACGUUCCGCGAAUAAAACGUUACAGUAUUAUUGAAAACGUUCGUCCGUACGUUUAUAUAGUUCGGUGUAGAUACACGUGUAUAAUAUGCGAUACACAUAAAAUAAUAUCGUAUCAUUUCGUAUAAAAAAAUAAUAAUAAUAAUAAUAAU
This is a non-coding RNA of Cinara cedri, 621 nucleotides long. Lineage: Eukaryota; Metazoa; Arthropoda; Insecta; Hemiptera; Aphididae. The record is from the annotation of a GenBank genome assembly.